GGUAAAUGUUCAACACGUGUUUUUUUCAAACAGAGACACAAGUUAAACGAGCUUGCGUUCUGGAGAUGGCUCAUGAAGAAUCUCUCAAACACAGCUCCUUAUAUGAAUCCUCUGAUCCAUUUCCUGCCCGGCUGCCCUUCAGCAGGAAGAAGCGUGUGGAGUGUAAGGCCUAGAUUACCAACUUCACGAUGAAGAACACAACCUGUCCGGGGGUAACUGUACAGCCAGGCCUCCUACAACUACUUGGUCAACAAGGAGCUGACCUGUGCAACGAGAGGUCCAUCCCUUGGUUGGUGAGCGGUGAGCCAUCAGGGUCGGAGACGUUCACGUUAAGCACAACCUUUUAGACGAAGACACUGCAAACCACCAACCAUCUCAAACAAUCAAAAGAAGUGCUGCUCGGACAAGUUUCUAAACACAAACUGGACACAGUGCGGAGUAGCUUUGUUUUUUAUUUGUUAACAUAAUUAGUGGUAGUAAAGCGCACGCUAGCAGAAAAUGCAUCACAACCAAGUGGUUGUGGAAGUGCAAAAGACCAAGUGCUUAAACAAACCAGUGCUUCAGUCAGCCAAUGAGAUGAGGUGGAAGAGGGGAGUGCCCUCAGUGCUGGUGAGCAUUGGGGGAGCGUGGGGUUGGGGCGUUAAAGCCUCAACGCCUCACAGUAAAUAUGAACCUUUUUUGUAUUUGAUCUGCAGGUUUCAGGCCGGGCCAGAGGAAGGUGUGUCUCAGGAGGAAUGACAAGCAUGAGGUGAAGUUGUCAACAUGCGACCAUCAGGACGGAGACAGGAAGAAGGGCAGGUCCACGACGGUGAAGCAGCCCAACGGCAAGUAGGGCUGGGAGUGAAACAACAAUAGUUGUUGUUAAUGCAGCAUCGUCGAUUAACCAGGAACAUACAGGUGUCAAAUACCCAUAGAAAACACUCCAUGGCUUGCUCUGCCCCUGUUAUAAAUACAGCUGCUGUAUGUAUGUAGCAUAGAAUACGGUCUCCCCCCAUCGGAUGCUGGUUUUUCCAAGAACAGGAGACCAUGGAUGCAGUGCACAAAAACAAUGUUGUUUGCUGGUUCUGAGGCAGCAUGGACAGAUAAAACCCUGUUUCUGUAUUUUUACACAAUGUUGUUAGAAUUGUAUGAUUUAUCAUUCAGAUCUUUCUUUAUAGGGCCCUUAUGCAGACUUAAAGGGCAUGUACAAAUAUGUUGAUAUCGACACAGUAUUGGGGGGCUUUACUGUAAUAAAGUACUUUUGCUGAGCUUAAA
Molecule: long non-coding RNA, 1254 nt
Organism: Gadus macrocephalus (Pacific cod)
Lineage: Eukaryota; Metazoa; Chordata; Actinopteri; Gadiformes; Gadidae
Exons: 4
Source: RefSeq, a predicted model, not a curated record